GGGCGAUUAGCUCAGUUGGUAGAGCAACUCAUUUACACUGAGAAGGUCACAGGUUCGAGUCCUGUAUCGCCCA
RNAcentral lists this transfer RNA (73 nucleotides) under Parcubacteria bacterium C7867-005. RNAcentral describes it as "tRNA-Val". It matches the Rfam family "tRNA". From Rfam's summary of the family: Transfer RNA (tRNA) molecules are approximately 80 nucleotides in length. Their secondary structure includes four short double-helical elements and three loops (D, anti-codon, and T loops). The record is from RNAcentral. Lineage: Bacteria; Candidatus Parcubacteria. RNAcentral also lists the same sequence under 3 other names.